RNAcentral lists this long non-coding RNA (409 nucleotides) under Setaria italica (foxtail millet). RNAcentral describes it as "long non-coding RNA (SITA_LNC005185)". The record is from RNAcentral. Lineage: Eukaryota; Viridiplantae; Streptophyta; Magnoliopsida; Poales; Poaceae.
CCAACUCCUCGGCUGCAGCGGUGUUGGCAAUGCCAAGAAUGAGCUUCUACAAUGUACAUUUCUCGACAUCAAGCGACCUCCUUCGGUCUAGUCGUGAAUGCAGAUAGCAGAAAUUACCGACACUCAGAACUUACCGAAAAACAUUGCAGGCCAGCAAGGCUGCUGUCCUCAACUUCUUCGAGACCCUGCGGAUGGAGCUCCGCGACGAGGUCGGCAUCACGAUCGCCACUCCCGGGUGGAUCGAGUCGGAGAUGACGAAAGGAAAGCACCUGUCGAAGGAAGGGACAGUGGAAGUCGAUCAGGACAUGAGAGAUGUGAGUACACUACCUGUGUGAUGUGCCUGCCUCAACCUCGAAUCCUCAAAUGCAUGAUGAGCUUGGAUUCUUGGAUUGUGCAGGCUCAGGUCGGC